Long non-coding RNA from Hyalella azteca, 277 nucleotides. RefSeq lists it as uncharacterized. The record is from RefSeq and is a predicted model, not a curated record. The transcript has 3 exons. Lineage: Eukaryota; Metazoa; Arthropoda; Malacostraca; Amphipoda; Hyalellidae.
GCACGAGCAGCUGCUGCAGGCUGCUGCUGCUCCUGGCAGCCGCGGCACCCGAAGCUUCUGCAUGCGCACGUGUGUGCCGCUCUGAGCAGUCCAAGUGCGCCAACGACCGCUGCAUAAACGAGACGUGGCUGUGCGACGAAGGCAACAUCUGUGGCGACGCCAACGACGAGCGCGACUGCUGCACCGGUGACCACUUCGUCUGCGGCGACGGCAGAUGCAUCCCCAAGCAUUGGGAAUGCGACGGCUGGGACGAUUGCAGGGACAGGAGUGAUGAGAA